RNAcentral lists this ribosomal RNA (250 nucleotides) under uncultured bacterium. RNAcentral describes it as "partial 16S ribosomal RNA". It matches the Rfam family "Archaeal small subunit ribosomal RNA", at positions 474 to 723 of the family's 1478-position model. The record is from RNAcentral.
CACCGGCAGCCCAAGUGGUGGCCAUUUUUAUUGGGCCUAAAGCGUUCGUAGCCGGCCUGAUAAGUCUCUGGUGAAAUCCCACAGCUUAACUGUGGGAAUUGCUGGAGAUACUAUCAGGCUUGAGGUCGGGAGAGGUUAGAGGUACUCCCAGGGUAGGGGUGAAAUCCUAUAAUCCUGGGAGGACCACCUGUGGCGAAGGCGUCUAACUGGAACGAACCUGACGGUGAGUAACGAAAGCCAGGGGCGCGAA